This 3804-nucleotide long non-coding RNA is filed under the name Callithrix jacchus (white-tufted-ear marmoset). RNAcentral describes it as "lncRNA (ENSCJAG00000082434.1)". Lineage: Eukaryota; Metazoa; Chordata; Mammalia; Primates; Cebidae. The record is from RNAcentral.
GUGGCUACUUGGGGCUAAGAAAAAAGCUCUGCCCUGAAGGUCAAUGGGAAGGACAGCUAGUGCAGCUCCUGAGUGCAGACCAAGGAAGGCAUUCACCUGCAUGAAAAUUGGGCCUGCUGUGCAUGACAGUGAACUACUACUACUGGAUGGAUACUGAUGCCUUUAAGAGAGUCCUAAUUUCAAUCUUCUGUCAUGGAGAAUAUCCAAUCAAAUUAGAAGUGAAACAAGUCAAAGUAAGCUUUUUUGAAAACAAUAUUAUCUGUGAUUUUGGUGAAAAGAUACAUUUCUCCAUUAAAAUUGUAUUUAUUUUUAAAAAAUGUCAAUAUGGUUCGUGCCCCAUUUACAACCCAACACACUUAGAUUAUCCAUCAUUGCCACCAGAUACAAAAGUUGCAACUUUUUUUAUUUUCAUAAACUUACUAUUUUGACAUGUAAAGAAGAGUCAUUUUGUAAAAUUCUAAACUUUUACAAAGGUAAGAAAUGGUGAAAUAAUAACAACAUUUGUCUUCUGUCAAAAAAUAUUGACAUGAUAUUACUAUAGCAAAAUUGGUUUGUGUUGUGAAGUAUGUCUCAAAGAUAAAUCAGACUUUAUAUAUUUUUUUAAACAAUCUAAAUUGUUCUUUGGAUAUUAAUGUCUAUAAAAACAUCAGGACAUAUAAGUGCAGGAAGAGAUUCUAUAAAGUAGACAUAAAAUUUGGAUAAGAACCUUGAAAUUCCCUGAACACUCAUAUGCCACAUUUGACAUUGACUCAAGUCAUUUUCGAAGUAUAAUGUGACAUAUUUCAUAUUUCAUUAGUGUCUAAAUUGUGGACUUCUUGGGCAAAAUAAAAGCCCUUUGUAAAUUGCUAAGAAAUGACUGUUUACUGUUUUUGCAAGAUUCUACUCAGAGAACUGGGCAAAGAAAGGGUGUACUAUGUGAAUGAAAAAAUAAAAAUUUAUAUAGCAAAUUCAUGUAAUGGUGAAGAACCCAGAGGAUUAAAACAUUGGCAGAAAAUGCUCUUAGCAGUGAAAGUGAACGAUGGUCUACUAGUCAGCAAUAUCUAAAGUUGGAAGUCUAUCUCACUUCUUGUUCCUUAUCCACGCCCAUCAACCGCAUGCCAGACUCAAACACCUAGUGCCAUCUAGGUGUUUCAUCUGUCUAAUGAGACUGAUAAAGCAACAGGACAUGGAAAUGCGGACAAGGCUGCCUUUCAUACUUAAAGUCUUUGUUUUGAUAUUGUUAAGGAGGAAAAAAAAUAAACCAUAAGCAAAAUGUGAUUUAAUUUAACUGGCUUUAAGAUAGUAAAUUGAGAAAUGAUAAUAAUUCAAUUUAUUUGCUUUCAAAUUGAUAACAAAAUUGAAAUUCACCUCAUACUUAUUAGGUAGCUACAAUAUUCAAGACACAUUCCAGGCAAAGUGAAGGAACACGGAUGGCUGGUGGAGAGUAAGCAGUCUGCAUGGUAUGCUGGCUGGCUGCGGGUGGCCUUGUGGAUCUGGGACAUUGGAAGAACUGCUGUCCUAGGAGAAAAGACUGGCAGAGCAAGCUGGGUUCAGUGGAAGGGCUUGAGCUGUGGGCUGAGCUACAGAUAAGGAGAACCCUACACAGGUUUUAGCUAGGGAGAUGAGGCCAUUAGGGGUAUUCAACUUGAUGGAACCCUUGUAGAAAUAGGUAUGCACAAAACUCUUUAUUCCAUUCACACUCUGUUCAUUUGAAGAGGGGCAAGGUAAAGGGGAAGAAGAGAGAAAAAGGAAAUAAGAGUGAACACCAGAGAAGCAGGAAAGGGAAAAAACAUAUUCUGAGCAAGGAAUCAAAGCAGGACUAGGACUGAAUGGGAAGAUUUUUGUUUGUUUUGUUUUUAAGAGGCAGAGCCUCGAUCUGUCACCUUGGCUGGAGUACAGAGCUACAAUCCUAGUUCGCUGGAGCCUUGAACUCCUGGGAGCAAGUGACCCUCCUGCCUCAGCCUCCUGAGCAGUUGUGAUGACAGGCAUGUGCCACUAUGCUUGGAUACUUUUUUGUAAAAAUUUUUUUUUGUAGAGAUGGCAGUCUCAUUAUGUUGCCUAGGCUAGUCUCAAAUUUCUGGUCUCAAGCAAUUCUCCCACCUCAGCCUCCCAAAGUGCUGGAAUUACAGGUACAAGCCACUGCACCCUGUCUAAAUAAUAAAGUUAAGUAAAUGUUUAGUUGAGAACUAGGUGGAGGACAUAAUCUGCUGCUCCUUGGAGCUGAGAACAUCUGAGAACUCACCCACCAUUUCCUAAACUAGAAGUUAAACUUGUGACCUGUAGUCUACAAGGACCUAAAACUUGGAUUUACUUAAUUUAAUUUUAUCUUUUUGGACUUAUUUAUUUUUGCUUUUAUUUAUAUACCUUAAACAUAUUUUAAAUUUGAGUGCCUUUAGGAGGCUAUGCCAUUCUAUAGUUCAACACUCCCUAUUUUCCUACAUCCAUGUUUAUACACCAGCCUGGCUUCUUUAGGAAUUUGAGUUUGUAGUUCCAACUAGGAGAUAAAGACUUGUUCACUGAAGAUAAAUACAAGGUAUUUGUAUUUCCAUAUGCCUGAAAAUUAAGAAUAUUAAAAUACACCUAGAUAUUUGGAAAGAUAAGUUGCAUACUUUCCUCCCCCAAUAUUUAUAAAGAGAACAGUGGGCUACUUGUGAGAAAUGUAUCAGAUGCUCUCAAAGUGAUUGUCAUGCUUUAUCAGCAGCCAUUAAAAGAGCAUCUGCUACAAAUAUUUAGCCCCCCUGAUGUUUUUGCAUAGUCCUUUGUACCACUGAGCAGAAAUCACUUGGUCAAAUCUCAAUUUUCUCAUUUUCUUCUCUUACUUCAGGAAAACGAAUAGAUUUAUUUUCCUUUUGUUUCUUACUUUUUGAAAAAGGAUAGGAGCCAAUUAAAAGUUACUGAGUAGUAUGUCAUAGUGUGUUAUUCUGUUUCUUGCCGUUGUUGGUUAUCCACAAAAAAUAGCUCUGAUAUGGGCCAACGUACUUAACUAUAUUGUCAAGUACACUGGUAUCCCACAUAUUUUCAUUCAGAUCUGUGCCCCCAAAAUAUCUACAAUUGAUUUCUCUUGAGUUUUAAGGGCAUGUAACUCCUCUGCCACUCUCACCAAUAAGAAUAUUUAUCUGUGUGAGAUUAAGGCAGAAAAAGACAUGUGUAAUUAUGACAGGUCUGCAUUUGACUACUGAGUAAAAUAUUUGAAACACCAAAGGUCUAACUAACAUCAAAGAUGUUAUUAAAAUGUGCACUUAGGAUGGGUGAAUUUUAUUGUAUGUAUAUAACACUUUAAUUUAAAACAUUUUUAAAAUGUAAGAUCUAAGACCACCACUAGAUAAACAAGGCAGAGUGUACAUGCAUUUAUAUUUGCCUCCACUUCAAAUCCUACCAAAAUAAAUGUAAAGAAAAGAAAAAGUUAUAAAUCUAUAGCAGUAAAGUGACCAGAAGUGGAGAAAAUAAUUAAUUAAGGAGAGAUGCUAAUAAAAUUUAGAAUGACUAAAAGUGAAGAGAAGAACCUAAAUCCUACAUACCUGCAGAGAUGGAUACCAGUAAGUAGUCAACCACAGGCCCUCGGAAAAUGACAAUGAUAGAAGGUCUCAGAAAUUGUUUCUAGUACUCCAAAAUGGAGUUACUGAAGUAUGGAGCUGAAAAUGGAGUGAUCAAGAAUCAGACCAAAGAAGGGUCAGCCUGUCUUGAAGAUUUGUGAGAAUGACAACUCAGACUUGGUUCAAGAUUGUUUUUUCCCAUUGGUUCUAGCAAAUCAUUCCCAAGAGAAUUUCAAAACAGAGAUACAAGGGAGUACCCCACUGUCAGAGUCUCUGCAUUUCUCCCACACAG